This is a long non-coding RNA of Antechinus flavipes (yellow-footed antechinus), 1389 nucleotides long. RefSeq lists it as uncharacterized. The record is from RefSeq and is a predicted model, not a curated record. The transcript has 6 exons. NCBI's taxonomy places the organism in Eukaryota, Metazoa, Chordata, Mammalia, Dasyuromorphia, Dasyuridae.
CAUCUUUUAAAUUCCUCUCUGUUGACAACCCAUCCUCUCUAGAGGAUGUUCUUCUUCUUCUAUCUUCUGUUCUACCAUGUUCCUCAUUAGACACUGUUCCUUUCCUUCUUUUCUCAUCCCCCCUCUUCUAUCUUCCACUCUCCUUUCCUCUUUUUCAUUGCUUAUUGAAAGUCUCAUUUACUAGCUAGAUCAUAACCCUCCGGGUUCUACUAACAGAAUCAUCAAAGUCCAAUGGCAAGACAAAAAUCUGUUGGUUGUGACGUGGCCUCUGCACAUGCUACAGUUUCUGGGAGCUACAGCCUGCAAUUUGUACAGACUUGGUGAACCAAACUGCUUUGAGGAAGACAAGAUUCUACCCAAGACUCCAAGUGCCAAUGAUUUCCCAGCUGCUGGAUCUGGAGCCCUUUUGCAAAUCUUCUGGAUCCUGAUUCAGUCAUCCUAGAUGUUGGCUAUCCCUUCCAGAUUAACGAAAGCAGAGAUUAAGUGGCUUGCCCAGAAUAACUCAACUAUGGCUUCAGAUGCUUUUGGAUUCCAGCUUCAAGAAAAAAGAUGGAAGAUGCCAAACACACCUCGGGCUGCUGAAGGAAAAGACUCUGGGAAGAGCUGGCAGUCUUUAUCAUGUUGCAACACAAGAGACUUGGGAAAUGUUCUUUUGGAUGAGACCAAGAACUUUUUGUCUCUCUCUGUCUCUGUCUCUUUUUUUGUCUCUGUCUCUAUUUCCCUCUGUGUGUGUGUGUGUGUCUAUCUGUCUGUCUAUCUGUCUCUCUUUGUUGAGCUGAAUUAGCUCAUUCCCAAUGGGAGAGAGUACCUUCACUCUGUAUUAUCUGAUAUAUAUUCUUCUAUGUAUACUUUCUCUGGUUUCUGUUUGUACGAGAUAAAGUGAGAUCUUUCAAGACAGUUGUGAAAAUCGAGUAAGGCUUCAUCUAUUUCAAAGUUUGAGUAGGCCUGAAGGACUUUAAGCAUUAAGUCAAGGGCAUACUUAAAGUGUGUCCUCCCUGCUAUCUUCUUAAGGACAAAAGCCCCUUCCUGCUCUUUUCUUAAAGACAAAAGCCCCUUCCUGCUAUCUUCUUAAAGAUAUACUUAAAGUCUCCUCCCUGCUAUCCCUUCCCUGUCAUCCCCCUAAGGGCAUACUUAAGCCCCCUUCCUGUUAUCCUCCCUAUUUCAGCCAAAUAUGGGCAACUAUGUACUUGUUGGUCAAGUUCAAUUUCUUGGAUACUUCCUGCGUUUAGAAUGUAAGAUCCUCAGGCAAUAAGGAUGAGGGUGAUUGGUGGGAGGGGCAAUUUGCAUUAGGGAUAAAAGCGCAGACCCCGCCCCCUACAGUGCUUCCUCCCUUCGAUGGGUUGGAGGCCCAUUCUUGAGAGCGUGAAUAAACUUUACUUUGCUUCUAGA